GGGUAUAGCUCAGUGGUAGAGCACAUGCUUAGCAUGCACGAGGUCCUGGGCUCAAUCUCCUGUAUCUCCA
RNAcentral lists this transfer RNA (70 nucleotides) under Camelus bactrianus (Bactrian camel). It matches the Rfam family "tRNA". From Rfam's summary of the family: Transfer RNA (tRNA) molecules are approximately 80 nucleotides in length. The record is from Rfam by way of RNAcentral. Lineage: Eukaryota; Metazoa; Chordata; Mammalia; Artiodactyla; Camelidae. RNAcentral also lists the same sequence under 1 other name.